RNAcentral lists this ribosomal RNA (557 nucleotides) under uncultured bacterium. Its description in RNAcentral is "bacterial SSU rRNA". It matches the Rfam family "Bacterial small subunit ribosomal RNA", at positions 102 to 694 of the family's 1533-position model. The record is from RNAcentral.
ACGGGUGAGUAACGCGUGGGAAUCUACCCAUCUCUACGGAAUAACGCAUGGAAACGUGUGCUAAUACCGUAUACGUCCUUCGGGGGAAAGAUUUAUCGGAGAUGGAUGAGCCCGCGUUGGAUUAGCUAGUUGGUGGGGUAAAGGCCUACCAAGGCGACGAUCCAUAGCUGGUCUGAGAGGAUGAUCAGCCACACUGGGACUGAGACACGGCCCAGACUCCUACGGGAGGCAGCAGUGGGGAAUAUUGGACAAUGGGCGCAAGCCUGAUCCAGCCAUGCCGCGUGAGUGAUGAAGGCCCUAGGGUUGUAAAGCUCUUUCACCGGUGAAGAUAAUGACGGUAACCGGAGAAGAAGCCCCGGCUAACUUCGUGCCAGCAGCCGCGAUAAUACGAAGGGGGCUAGCGUUGUUCGGAUUUACUGGGCGUAAAGCGCACGUAGGCGGACUAUUAAGUCAGGGGUGAAAUCCCGGGGCUCAACCCCGGAACUGCCUUUGAUACUGGUAGUCUUGAGUUCGAGAGAGGUGAGUGGAAUUCCGAGUGUAGAGGUGAAAUUCGUAGA